AUUGAACGCUGGCGGCAGGCCUAACACAUGCAAGUCGAGCGGAUGAAGGGAGCUUGCUCCUGGAUUCAGCGGCGGACGGGUGAGUAAUGCCUAGGAAUCUGCCUGGUAGUGGGGGAUAACGUCCGGAAACGGGCGCUAAUACCGCAUACGUCCUGAGGGAGAAAGUGGGGGAUCUUCGGACCUCACGCUAUCAGAUGAGCCUAGGUCGGAUUAGCUAGUUGGUGGGGUAAAGGCCUACCAAGGCGACGAUCCGUAACUGGUCUGAGAGGAUGAUCAGUCACACUGGAACUGAGACACGGUCCAGACUCCCACGGGAGGCAGCAGUGGGGAAUAUUGGACAAUGGGCGAAAGCCUGAUCCAGCCAUGCCGCGUGUGUGAAGAAGGUCUUCGGAUUGUAAAGCACUUUAAGUUGGGAGGAAGGGCAGUAAGUUAAUACCUUGCUGUUUUGACGUUACCAACAGAAUAAGCACCGGCUAACUUCG
RNAcentral lists this ribosomal RNA (482 nucleotides) under uncultured bacterium. Its description in RNAcentral is "partial 16S ribosomal RNA". It matches the Rfam family "Bacterial small subunit ribosomal RNA", at positions 30 to 505 of the family's 1533-position model. The record is from RNAcentral.